AGAGUUUGAUCCUGGCUCAGAGUGAACGCUGGCGGCAGGCCUAACACACGCAAGUCGAACGGCAGCACAGCAGUAGCAAUACUGUGGGUGGCGAGUGGCGGACGGGUGAGGAAUGCGUCGGAAUCUGCCUAUUUGUGGGGGAUAACGUAGGGAAACUUACGCUAAUACCGCAUACGACCUACGGGUGAAAGUGGGGGACCUUCGGGCCUCACGCAGAUAGAUGAGCCGACGCCGGAUUAGCUAGUUGGCGGGGUAAAGGCCCACCAAGGCGACGAUCCGUAGCUGGUCUGAGAGGAUGAUCAGCCACACUGGGACUGAGACACGGCCCAGACUCCUACGGGAGGCAGCAGUGGGGAAUAUUGGACAAUGGGCGCAAGCCUGAUCCAGCCAUGCCGCGUGUGUGAAGAAGGCCUUCGGGUUGUAAAGCACUUUUGUCCGGAAAGAAAUCCUUUCGAUUAAUACUCGGGAGGGAUGACGGUACCGG
Molecule: ribosomal RNA, 484 nt
Filed under: uncultured bacterium
Lineage: Bacteria
Description: bacterial SSU rRNA
Rfam family: Bacterial small subunit ribosomal RNA
Source: RNAcentral